GGACCAUCCCUGGUGUUACAGCCGAGAGAAAAGGCACUUGGGAAGUCUGCUAAACCCAGGAACAAAGGAUGGAAAAUAACAUAACAUCUGAGGUACUAAUGCUGCACCCACCUGUCUCCGGCCUCUGCAAGCCCCUCUCACUCCUACAGCUGGACCCGGACUGCCUGAGAACUCGAUUGUCUUUCAGUCAGGUAUCAUCUGCUGUCAGCAUGUUACUGUCUGUAUCUCUGAGGUCUACGGGCACCUGUCACCUUGGUGGAAGCAAUUAAUG
Long non-coding RNA from Cygnus olor (mute swan), 271 nucleotides. RefSeq lists it as uncharacterized. Lineage: Eukaryota; Metazoa; Chordata; Aves; Anseriformes; Anatidae. The record is from RefSeq and is a predicted model, not a curated record. The transcript is spliced from 3 exons.